This 810-nucleotide long non-coding RNA is filed under the name Diuraphis noxia (Russian wheat aphid). RNAcentral describes it as "uncharacterized LOC107161805, transcript variant X2". Lineage: Eukaryota; Metazoa; Arthropoda; Insecta; Hemiptera; Aphididae. The record is from RNAcentral.
UUAAAACGUGUGUCUAGUGGUCUAGUCUAAGUGCUAAUUUUGAUUCACUAUUCAGUAUUGUAUUCCCUAUUGUAGUAUUUUCUAAUUUUCUCUACUGUAUAUAUAUUAUAAUGAAGAGGUAUGAGUAUACAUAGACUUUAUACUAAGAAUAAUUAAUAUCUUAUAUGCAACCUAGUGUACAAGUCUGUGGUGAUGAGUAUACUGUUGCCGUAAUACCAUCGAGUAUAUAUAAGUUCUGUCGUUCUGUUCACAGGCAUAAAAUAAGAUACCUAUACAGGUAUAUAAAACAAAGUAUAUCUUAGUUCAUGUAUACGGCUAAUGCACUUAUUUACUAUCUGGUGAUUACAAUUCACAAGUUACAAUGACGAUGCUCAACAGUCAACAGUAUAAGUGUGAACAUCCUCAACUAUAAUUUAUCAUGAUUAUUAUUAAUUAAUUAACAAUUAAGGAACACAUGGAAUGGGAUGGCUAAUUAACUAUAUAACACAUAUUGAUACUCCUUUUCAUACAAUGAGUUGGUCCUCCAGUAAUAGCUUUUAAUCCAGCAAAUUAAAGUCAUGAAUCCUCAAUGAAAGAAGAGACGCAAAUGAGGUACGCUGUCCAAAAAUACAACUGAAUUCAUCGCCCAAGCAAACAUCUUCCAUUUCACCUUCAUCAAUGCAGUAUAUUGACCAUGAACUUUCCCUUGGUCCAGAGGCAGUUACAGCAAAUACUAAUAUAAUGAUCAAAGGCUACAUCAUCUGUCAUCAUUACAAUUAUACGGUCAACUGGUAUACCAUUAUUCAACAAUGUUUGGUAUGCAUGUGAAAC